This 830-nucleotide long non-coding RNA is filed under the name Calidris pugnax (ruff). Its description in RNAcentral is "lncRNA (ENSCPUG00000005177.1)". Lineage: Eukaryota; Metazoa; Chordata; Aves; Charadriiformes; Scolopacidae. The record is from RNAcentral.
GAUGCUUAAAGGAUGUAGGCUGAAAUAGAAGAAUUUACACAAAUGUGAUUUAUGCUUCUUGCAAGCUGCCUUUAUAAGAAUUCUGAGCUUUCAUAUUUGCAGAUCUCAGGUUAGUGGGUUUUACAGGCUAUUCAGCUAAUUCAGCCCCAUCUUUCAAACAUCUGUUGCCUCUGAAAAGUUCUCAGUGUAAAGAGGAAACUGUUAUUUAUAAGAAGAAGCUGUCAAAGAUCAGCUAUGUUCAACAAUCUAAAGCAUCGCUUACGUACAUCAGCACUAAACUAUGCUCAUUUGGAUAGCAUGAAUGGCUAAUUUUAGCUUAAAAUUGGAAACAAUUAUGGGUUCAGGAAGAAAAGUAGGGCUGUGUGUCAUUAGUAAUUGAUUUCUUUUGUGGAAAAGCUUGAAAUGAGCAGUUAAGAAAAAAAUACCAACACAACAUUAAGUGAUGCAACCUGUCUUGUGCAAUAUGCAGAUGUUUCUCAGAUUUGUGUCUGUCUCAGGUGGAUGGAUACUUCUGGUGUCAUUCCCUCUCUUCCCUCUGCCUCUCUAUAAUACUUUCUGCAUCUUUCAGCUGCUGCUGUAGAAGUCUCAACUGGGAACAUUGUGCAACUCAUGUGCACAAGAGGAGAGUGGUAUGCCAUGGCAUAGGAAGCUGCGAAUCACUUGGAGUCACCAGAAUGAUCAGACGAGCUGCUUGGGACCUGAGUUGCCAUCCUUUCUGCUGCCAGUGCUAUACUGUCCUUUUUAAGAUCCAUCUACCUGGCUUCUGCAGUGCUGAUGUGGUGGCGUGUGCUUGGGCAUCUGUUUGGAGUGAACCCAACUGCUCCUCGUGA